This 451-nucleotide ribosomal RNA is filed under the name uncultured bacterium. RNAcentral's name for it is "bacterial SSU rRNA". It matches the Rfam family "Bacterial small subunit ribosomal RNA", at positions 1052 to 1504 of the family's 1533-position model. The record is from RNAcentral.
UCGUCAGCUCGUGUCGUGAGAUGUUGGGCUAAGUCCCGCACCGAGCGCAACCCUUGUCCCUAGUUGCUACGCAAGAGCACUCUAGGGAGAAUGCCGGUGAUAAACCGGAGGAAGGUGGGGAUGACGUCAAGUCCUCAUGGCCCUUAUGGGUAGGGCUUCACACGUCAUACAAUGGUCGGAACAGAGGGUCGCCAACCCGCGAGGGGGAGCCAAUCCCAGAAAACCGAUCGUAGUCCGGAUCGCACUCUGCAACUCGAGUGCGUGAAGCUGGAAUCGCUAGUAAUCGCGGAUCGGCAUGCCGCAGUGAAUACGUUCCCGGGUCUUGUACACACCGCCCGUCACACCAUGGGAGUGGGUUUUACCAGAAGUGGCUAGUCUAACCGCAAGGAGGACGGUCACCUCCUGCGUUUGUGAGGCAUGACUGGGGUGAAGUCGUAACAAGGUAACCGUA